GAUGAACGCUGGCGGCGUGCCUAAUACAUGCAAGUCGAGCGAACAGAUGAGGAGCUUGCGCCUCUGACGUUAGCGGCGGACGGGUGAGUAACACGUGGAUAACCUACCUAUAAGACUGGGAUAACUUCGGGAAACCGGAGCUAAUACCGGAUAAUAUAUUGAACCGCAUGGUUCAAUAGUGAAAGACGGUUUUGCUGGCACUUAUAGAUGGAUCCGCGCCGCAUUAGCUAGUUGGUAAGGUAACGGCUUACCAAGGCAACGAUGCGUAGCCGACCUGAGAGAGUGAUCGGCCACACUGGAACUGAGACACCGUCCAGGCUCCUACGGGAGGCAGCAGUAGGGAAUCUUCCGCAGAGGGCGAAAGCCUGACGGAGCAACGCCGAGUGAGUGAUGAAGGUCUUCGGAUCGUAAAACUCUGUUAUUAGGGAAGAACAAAUGUGUAAGUAACUAUGCACGUCUUGACGGUACCUAAUCAGAAAGCCACGGCUAACUACGUG
Molecule: ribosomal RNA, 497 nt
Filed under: uncultured bacterium
Lineage: Bacteria
Description: partial 16S ribosomal RNA
Rfam family: Bacterial small subunit ribosomal RNA
Source: RNAcentral